Molecule: small RNA, 2989 nt
Filed under: Mytilus galloprovincialis (Mediterranean mussel)
Lineage: Eukaryota; Metazoa; Mollusca; Bivalvia; Mytilida; Mytilidae
Source: RNAcentral
AUGCAGAACAUUACCUUUCUGUUGGUGAUGCAGGUAAACUUGAUGUUCAGGAAUAAAUGAAGGUAUGGUUGGAAUAAGGUAGGUGUUUCUCCACAAAUGAUGGAAAACUAAGCCAAAUAUAAAUAUUUUUGUGAAAUUAAGUCGAUCAAUUAAACUUUAAACACUGAAAUUUAAACAAAAUAUGCUGGUGGAAAAUUUCGAGGUGUCCUCUUCAAAAAUGAAUCUGGAAAUAAUAUUCUACUAUACAAGGAGGGGCCGAAGGUAGCAAGGGCCAUAUGUAGGAAAGUUUUAAAAGAGGGCAAUGAGAAAUGAGGGACAAUAGAAUUUGUACAUCUGAAUAUUUAUUCUAAAAUUUAUCAACUUGAUGCCUUUUAUAUCACAAAAUCGGGUAUAUUUUACAAAGUAUUGAAAGAUCGCACCCCUAAAAGCGUACUUGGACUUGACAGAAAAAAUAUUUGAUAACAAAAAUAUUUAUUUUUUCAAUUCUGGCAGUAGUAAAAGUUUACUACAUCAAAUGAAUAAAUAAAAUAAUAUAUAAACAAUAAAAAUAAAUACAAAUAACACAUUGUAUUAAAGGCGCAAAACUGUCCAUCAAUUCAAGUUUUCGCGGUAUUUACACUUAUCCGGAAAAUUGGAUCUGUCCGCAAAUGUUCAAGGUGUUCUCAUACAACGUCUUUCAAGCGUUUGAAAAUGGCCCUGAAAUGAUACACAAUAAAACUCGAUUAAUAAUAUUAAAAAGUCCAGCGUGUUCCCGGAGACAGAAUUACUGGAUUGUAACCAUUCUGAAACGAGAAAUGUCUCUUUUAACAGAUAAUUGCUAUCCAAACACGUAAAUAUCUUGAUAUUAAUGAAAACGAGUGGUGUUAACGUGGAAAAUCGUAAAAACAUCCCUUUUUUCAUCAGAUUUACACCAGUUUGUACCUUUUGUCAGUAUAGCUUAAACUUUGGAUAGCAUUUUUCAGAAAAUAUACAUUCAGACGAUUUCAUUGAUGCUUUAUUUUUUGUUGAAAGGUUCCAGCAACACGCUGGACUUUUGAGUUUAAAAUGAAAUAAACACCUUCAGUAGCUGCUCGGGUCACGUGACUACUUUCACUUUUGAAGUAAACAAACCGUGAAAAAUUAAAUUUAGAUUUUAAUGAUUAACACUAUUACUGCUGAUAAGAAAUCUUUUUCUGGCAAUAGUAAGUUAAAAUUGUUUAAAAAUAAUAUGCUUUUUAACGUAUUUUUCUCGUAAAGUGCCUUAACAUCACUGCGAUAUCGUCAGCGUCCGAAAUUUUCCAAGAAGUAAUACGCAACGUUAUAAGUGGUAUACCUGGAGUUAAAAACAUUUCAGACGACAUAAUCAUAUAUGGCAGAUCACAAGCAGAACAUGAUAAAGCGUUAGAUGCCACAUUCAAGAGAUUACUUGAAAACGGACUAACUUUAAAUCUUGAAAAGUGUGAGUUCAAUAAAGAUCAAGUAGUGUUCUUUGGAGUCACAUUUUCGAAAGAAGGCAUUUCGCCAGAUCCAAAGAAGGUUAGCGCAAUCAAAGACAUGUCUCCACCGAAAAAUGUACCAGAACUACGUAGCUUUCUAGGUAUGACUACAUACUCAUCUAGAUUCAUACAGAAUUAUGCAACAUUAUGUGAGCCGUUAAGAAGACUAACACGCCAAGAUACAAACUGGAACUGGGACUCUGAACAAGAAGCAGCUUUCGAAAAAUUGAAAUGUGAACUAUCUAGUGACACUGUCAUAACAUAUUAUAAUCCAAAACAUGAGAUUGAUAUUUUAGUAGAUGCCAGUCCUGUUGGGCUUGGGGCAAUAAUGUCACAAGAAGGAAAAACUGUAGCUUAUGCAAGCAGGAGUCUUACUGACACGGAAACAAGGUACAGCCAAACUGAACGAGAAGCUCUCGCUAUUGUUUGGGCAUGUGAACACUUUGAUAUGUACAUAAGAGGUGCACCAAACGUGAACAUUAUAACAGAUCACAAGCCACUAGAGCGUAUUUGGCAGAAACCAAAGCCACCACUGAGAAUUGAACGUUGGGGUUUGAGAUUACAACCUUACAAACUUAAGAUAACAUAUCAACCAGGAAGUGAAAAUCCUGCAGAUUUUAUGUCAAGACAUCCAUCAGACAACCCUGUCAAAUCCCGGGAACAAUCUAUAGCAGAACAGUAUGUGAGAUUUGUUAUGUCUGAAGCAGUCCCUCGUGCAAUGACACUUGAUGAAGUUAAAAUGGCUUCUUCAAAGGAUAAAACUAUUCAAAAGGCAAUAGAAUUCGUAAGAACUGGACAAUGGUUUAAAAUCAAAAAACAUAACAGAUCUGGAAAUUGACAUUGAGGAAUUACAAGCAUUAAGGAGCAUCAGUGGUGAACUUGUAACCUAUGGUGACACUAUUUUACUCAGAGACAAUCGUAUUGUACUCCCAUCUGAACUCCGUGUGCGAGCUGUUAACAUUGCGCAUGAAGGUCAUCAGGGUAUCACCAAAACUAAAGCAUUCUUACGUUCCAAGAUAUGGUUUCCAGGACUUAACGACAGAGUUGAUAAUGCAAUUAAAGACUGUUCAGCAUGUCAAUCUGUUACACACACCAAAAGAAUUGAACCGUUAAGAAUGUCUGAAUUGCCAGAAAAGCCAUGGACAAAUUUGAGUGCUGAUUUUUGUGGUCCAUUACCUAGCGGAGACCUCUUAUUCGUUAUUACAGAUGAAUAUUCACGUUAUCCAGUAGUUGAAGUAAUAAAAUCCGACUCUGCUUCAACUGUUAUUCCUGUUUUGGACAAAGUUAUAUCUACUUUCGGAAUUCCUAAAGUAAUCAAAACAGAUAAUGGUCCUCCGUUUAACUCUCAUGCAUUCAGACAAUAUGCUGAGAAUACUGGAUUUGAACAUCGCCGUGUAACACCAUUAUGGCCGCGUGCCAAUGCCCAGGCCGAAUCAUUUAAUAAACCAAUGAUGAUGAAGACAAUUAAAGCAGCUCAUGUGGAAAGAAAAAAGCUGGAAACAAGAACUAUUUAA